This is a non-coding RNA of Potamilus streckersoni, 67 nucleotides long. The record is from the annotation of a GenBank genome assembly. NCBI's taxonomy places the organism in Eukaryota, Metazoa, Mollusca, Bivalvia, Unionida, Unionidae.
GAGGCCUAAUGGUUAGAGCAUCCGCAUCGAAUGCGGGAGGUCGUGGGUUCGAGUCCCGGCAGAGUCA